UACCGAGGGUGCGAGCGUUAAUCGGAUCUACUGGGCGUAGCGUGUGCGUAGGUGGCUUUUUAAGUCGGAUGUGAAAUCCCCGAGCUUAACUUGGGAAUUGCAUUCGAUACUGGGAAGCUAGAGUAUGGGAGAGGAUGGUAGAAUUCCAGGUGUAGCGGUGAAAUGCGUAGGGAUCGGGAGGAAUACCGAUGGCGAAGGCAGCCAUCUGGCCUAAUACUGACGCUGAGGUACGAAAGCAUGGGGAGCAAACAGG
Molecule: unclassified non-coding RNA, 253 nt
Filed under: uncultured Moraxellaceae bacterium
Lineage: Bacteria; Pseudomonadati; Pseudomonadota; Gammaproteobacteria; Moraxellales; Moraxellaceae
Description: contains 16S-23S intergenic spacer region
Rfam family: Bacterial small subunit ribosomal RNA
Source: RNAcentral